UGCCAGCCGCCGCGGUAAUACGGAGGGGGCAAGCGUUGUUCGGAAUUACUGGGCGUAAAGGGCGUGUAGGCGGCGGUUUUAGUCAGGCGUGAAAGCCCGGGGCUCAACCCCGGAAGUGCAUUGGAAACUGGCGAACUUGAGUACGGGAGAGGAAAGUGGAAUUCCGAGUGUAGGGGUGAAAUCCGUAGAUAUUCGGAGGAACACCAGUGGCGAAGGCGGCUUUCUGGACCGAUACUGACGCUGAGACGCGAAAGCGUGGGGAGCAAACAGGAUUAGAUA
Molecule: ribosomal RNA, 279 nt
Filed under: uncultured bacterium
Lineage: Bacteria
Description: partial 16S ribosomal RNA
Rfam family: Bacterial small subunit ribosomal RNA
Source: RNAcentral